Molecule: ribosomal RNA, 538 nt
Filed under: Salmonella enterica
Lineage: Bacteria; Pseudomonadati; Pseudomonadota; Gammaproteobacteria; Enterobacterales; Enterobacteriaceae
Description: partial 23S ribosomal RNA
Rfam family: Bacterial large subunit ribosomal RNA
Source: RNAcentral
UCUAGCCAUGGGCAGGUUGAAGGUUGGGUAACACUAACUGGAGGACCGAACCGACUAAUGUUGAAAAAUUAGCGGAUGACCUGUGGCUGGGGGUGAAAGGCCAAUCAAACCGGGAGAUAGCUGGUUCUCCCCGAAAGCUAUUUAGGUAGCGCCUCGUGAAUUCAUCUCCGGGGGUAGAGCACUGUUUCGGCUAGGGGGCCAUCCCGGCUUACCAACCCGAUGCAAACUGCGAAUACCGGAGAAUGUUAUCACGGGAGACACACGGCGGGUGCUAACGUCCGUCGUGAAGAGGGAAACAACCCAGACCGCCAGCUAAGGUCCCAAAGUCAUGGUUAAGUGGGAAACGAUGUGGGAAGGCCCAGACAGCCAGGAUGUUGGCUUAGAAGCAGCCAUCAUUUAAAGAAAGCGUAAUAGCUCACUGGUCGAGUCGGCCUGCGCGGAAGAUGUAACGGGGCUAAACCAUGCACCGAAGCUGCGGCAGCGACACUGUGUGUUGUUGGGUAGGGGAGCGUUCUGUAAGCCUGUGAAGGUGUGUCGU